UUGCACUGAUGACGUCUUAGGACACCUUUGGAUUACCCAUGAAAACAAACUGUUUUACUUCUGAGCAAC
RNAcentral lists this small nucleolar RNA (69 nucleotides) under Anabas testudineus (climbing perch). RNAcentral's name for it is "Small nucleolar RNA SNORD58 (ENSATEG00000023403.2)". It matches the Rfam family "Small nucleolar RNA SNORD58". From Rfam's summary of the family: snoRNA U58 is found in introns 1, 3 and 6 of the ribosomal protein RPL17 gene in humans. U58 is a member of the C/D class of snoRNA which contain C (UGAUGA) and D (CUGA) box motifs. Most of the members of the box C/D family function in directing site-specific 2'-O-methylation of substrate RNAs. Lineage: Eukaryota; Metazoa; Chordata; Actinopteri; Anabantiformes; Anabantidae. The record is from Rfam by way of RNAcentral.